This 207-nucleotide ribosomal RNA is filed under the name uncultured bacterium. Its description in RNAcentral is "partial 16S ribosomal RNA". It matches the Rfam family "Bacterial small subunit ribosomal RNA", at positions 568 to 774 of the family's 1533-position model. The record is from RNAcentral.
CGCGUAGGUGGUUUGGUCAGUCAGAUGUGAAAGCCCUGGGCUUAACCUGGGAAUUGCAUUUGAUACUGCCAGACUAGAGUAUGGUAGAGGGAAGUGGAAUUCCGGGUGUAGCGGUGAAAUGCGUAGAUAUCCGGAGGAACAUCAGUGGCGAAGGCGGCUUCCUGGACCAAUACUGACACUGAGGUGCGAGAGCGUGGGUAGCAAACA